RNAcentral lists this transfer RNA (73 nucleotides) under Marmota monax (woodchuck). RNAcentral describes it as "tRNA.Ala". It matches the Rfam family "tRNA". Rfam says of the family: Transfer RNA (tRNA) molecules are approximately 80 nucleotides in length. Their secondary structure includes four short double-helical elements and three loops (D, anti-codon, and T loops). The record is from RNAcentral. Lineage: Eukaryota; Metazoa; Chordata; Mammalia; Rodentia; Sciuridae.
UGGGGUUUUGGCUCAAUGGUAGAGCACUCGCCUGGCAUGUGUGAGGCACUGGUUUCAAUUCUCAGCACCACAU